UACAGAGGUCCCAAGCGUUGUUCGGAUUCACUGGGCGUAAAGGGUGCGUAGGUGGCGCUGUAAGUGGGGUGUGAAAUCCCGGGGCUUAACCCCGGGACUGCAUUCCAUACUGCGGUGCUUGAGGACUGGAGAGGAGACUGGAAUUUACGGUGUAGCAGUGAAAUGCGUAGAGAUCGUAAGGAAGACCAGUGGCGAAGGCGGGUCUCCGGACAGUUCCUGACACUGAGGCACGAAGGCCAGGGGAGCAAACGGG
RNAcentral lists this ribosomal RNA (253 nucleotides) under uncultured bacterium. Its description in RNAcentral is "partial 16S ribosomal RNA". It matches the Rfam family "Bacterial small subunit ribosomal RNA", at positions 524 to 776 of the family's 1533-position model. The record is from RNAcentral.